Molecule: ribosomal RNA, 1358 nt
Filed under: uncultured bacterium
Lineage: Bacteria
Description: bacterial SSU rRNA
Rfam family: Bacterial small subunit ribosomal RNA
Source: RNAcentral
GAUGAACGCUAGCUACAGGCUUAACACAUGCAAGUCGAGGGGCAGCAUGGUCUUAGCUUGCUAAGGCCGAUGGCGACCGGCGCACGGGUGAGUAACACGUAUCCAACCUGCCGUCUACUCUUGGACAGCCUUCUGAAAGGAAGAUUAAUACAAGAUGGCAUCAUGAGUCCACAUGUUCACAUGAUUAAAGGUAUUCCGGUAGACGAUGGGGAUGCGUUCCAUUAGAUAGUAGGCGGGGUAACGGCCCACCUAGUCUUCGAUGGAUAGGGGUUCUGAGAGGAAGGUCCCCCACAUUGGAACUGAGACACGGUCCAAACUCCUACGGGAGGCAGCAGUGAGGAAUAUUGGUCAAUGGGCGAGAGCCUGAACCAGCCAAGUAGCGUGAAGGAUGACUGCCCUAUGGGUUGUAAACUUCUUUUAUAAAGGAAUAAAGUCGGGUAUGGAUACCCGUUUGCAUGUACUUUAUGAAUAAGGAUCGGCUAACUCCGUGCCAGCAGCCGCGGUAAUACGGAGGAUCCGAGCGUUAUCCGGAUUUAUUGGGUUUAAAGGGAGCGUAGAUGGAUGUUUAAGUCAGUUGUGAAAGUUUGCGGCUCAACCGUAAAAUUGCAGUUGAUACUGGAUAUCUUGAGUGCAGUUGAGGCAGGCGGAAUUCGUGGUGUAGCGGUGAAAUGCUUAGAUAUCACGAAGAACUCCGAUUGCGAAGGCAGCCUGCUAAGCUGCAACUGACAUUGAGGCUCGAAAGUGUGGGUAUCAAACAGGAUUAGAUACCCUGGUAGUCCACACGGUAAACGAUGAAUACUCGCUGUUUGCGAUAUACAGCAAGCGGCCAAGCGAAAGCGUUAAGUAUUCCACCUGGGGAGUACGCCGGCAACGGUGAAACUCAAAGGAAUUGAUGGGGGCCCGCACAAGCGGAGGAACAUGUGGUUUAAUUCGAUGAUACGCGAGGAACCUUACCCGGGCUUAAAUUGCAGAUGAAUUACGGUGAAAGCCGUAAGCCGCAAGGCAUCUGUGAAGGUGCUGCAUGGUUGUCGUCAGCUCGUGCCGUGAGGUGUCGGCUUAAGUGCCAUAACGAGCGCAACCCUUGUUGUCAGUUACUAACAGGUUCCGCUGAGGACUCUGACAAGACUGCCAUCGUAAGAUGUGAGGAAGGUGGGGAUGACGUCAAAUCAGCACGGCCCUUACGUCCGGGGCUACACACGUGUUACAAUGGGGGGUACAGAGGGCCGCUACCACGCGAGUGGAUGCCAAUCCCAAAAACCUCUCUCAGUUCGGACUGGAGUCUGCAACCCGACUCCACGAAGCUGGAUUCGCUAGUAAUCGCGCAUCAGCCACGGCGCGGUGAAUACGUUCCCGGGCCU